RNAcentral lists this ribosomal RNA (114 nucleotides) under Anolis carolinensis (green anole). Lineage: Eukaryota; Metazoa; Chordata; Lepidosauria; Squamata; Anolidae. The record is from RNAcentral.
GCCUAUGCCUGCCCUAAAGGCACCAGUGCUUGUCUGAUCGUGGAAGCUAAGUAGGGCUAGCUCUGGUUAGUACUUGGAUGGAGAACCACCAAUGAAUACCAGGUGCUGUGGGAU